UGCCAGCCGCCGCGGUAAUACGGAGGGUGCAAGCGUUAAUCGGAAUUACUGGGCGUAAAGCGCGCGUAGGCGGUUUUGUAAGUCGGAUGUGAAAUCCCUGGGCUUAACCUGGGAACUGCAUUCGAUACUGCAUAACUAGAGUAUGGUAGAGGGAAGUGGAAUUUCCGGUGUAGCGGUGAAAUGCGUAGAUAUCGGAAGGAACACCAGUGGCGAAGGCGACUUCCUGGGCCAAUACUGACGCUGAGGUGCGAAAGCGUGGGGAGCAAACAGGAUUAGAUA
Molecule: ribosomal RNA, 279 nt
Filed under: uncultured bacterium
Lineage: Bacteria
Description: partial 16S ribosomal RNA
Rfam family: Bacterial small subunit ribosomal RNA
Source: RNAcentral